This 132-nucleotide small nucleolar RNA is filed under the name Oryzias latipes (Japanese medaka). RNAcentral describes it as "Small nucleolar RNA SNORA24 (ENSORLG00000021671.2)". The record is from RNAcentral. Lineage: Eukaryota; Metazoa; Chordata; Actinopteri; Beloniformes; Adrianichthyidae.
AUCCACGUUACCAUGGGAACUGUUCCUGAGUUACAGUAUCCCUUCCUAGGCGUGGUACAAAAAAAAUCUUUGGCUCUUUUUUAGUCUCUGGUGGUUUUGCACCUAAGGCGAGAAGAGAAAAAGGAACAUUUC